GUCAGAGUCCCUGAGCAAACCCUUCUAGGUAAAUGGUGUUGGCCAAUUCACAAGCCUCUCAGUGCGUUAAUAUCCCUAAAGCCUGCAUCUAUAAUUGCUUAGGGGUGAUGAGUCUGGGGUGUGUAUUUUGUGGAUAAUCCAGCUCCUUGCAUUUUGUCUGUAUUCCCCACCUCUUGCAAUCAGAUGAACCAUAAGCACAGGAUCGCUACUUUUAAAUUGGAAAGAGGCUUCGAGGUUAGCAGGAUAUCCUCAAUGCCAUGGAAAGAGAAAGACAUCUCUGACAAUAGACAGUUGCCACAAGUCCCCACAGUCUGGAGGAAAGCCACCUUGGGAUUACCCCUGCAGCUUUCUGUUCCCAUCCUUAUUUGCCCACAUCCUGGCACUCACAGGCAUUUUCUCAGCCUCCUGGCUGACAAGAGUUGUUGGCAGGCCUAAAAGCCUAGCAGUGAACCAACCUUGAGACUGAAGAAAGAGCUCAAUGACAAUGACAGACGUCAGUGGUUCAAUAGAUGGGGUGUGUUACCUGUGAACCGGUCCUGGAGCUACUCUGCACUGUGUUCAGUAGACAAUGAGCAGGACACAGCAUCAGUCUUCCCUGAUCAGGGCAGAAGUGGGCUCUGGUUUAGCAGGAGAACUGACGUCAGCUUGGCCCAUCAGCUACCUGGGAAACCAGCUUAUGGGCUAUGUUGCUCAUGGCCUCUAAGUUUAAUGACCAUCAGUGGGGUAGAUUUUUUUUUUUAGAUGUUUUCUUUUCAUAAACUAGCAGGUGAAGCCAUUCUGACAUAAGCAGCAAAGGGCAAGUACAUUCAUGUGAGCAGGAUGUAGGCAAAGCAUGGAAUGGUCAAGUAAGGGAUAUACAAAGAGCAAGAGAACAGCCAUUUUGAGGGACCUAACCAAACACUCCACCCAACAUACUCUGAUCAAAACUUACAUCUUAGUCUUCCCUCUUUCCUUGAUAUCCCUAAGGUCAGGUAUCUCGAGAUAGACUACAACCAAGUACCACAAAUGCAAUACAGAUGACAGCAGUUAAUGAACACUGAGAAUCUAAGAAGUAGGCAAACUUUAGAGCCCGGCAAU
This 1077-nucleotide long non-coding RNA is filed under the name Capra hircus (goat). Its description in RNAcentral is "lncRNA (ENSCHIG00010026173.1)". The record is from RNAcentral. Lineage: Eukaryota; Metazoa; Chordata; Mammalia; Artiodactyla; Bovidae.